RNAcentral lists this ribosomal RNA (804 nucleotides) under Bacillus sp. Bac16D2. Its description in RNAcentral is "bacterial SSU rRNA". It matches the Rfam family "Bacterial small subunit ribosomal RNA", at positions 35 to 833 of the family's 1533-position model. Lineage: Bacteria; Bacillati; Bacillota; Bacilli; Caryophanales; Bacillaceae. The record is from RNAcentral.
GCUGGCGGCGUGCCUAUCAUGCAAGUCGAGCGAACUGAUUAGAAGCUUGCUUCUAUGACGUUAGCGGCGGACGGGUGAGUAACACGUGGGCAACCUGCCUGUAAGACUGGGAUAACUUCGGGAAACCGAAGCUAAUACCGGAUAGGAUCUUCUCCUUCAUGGGAGAUGAUUGAAAGAUGGUUUCGGCUAUCACUUACAGAUGGGCCCGCGGUGCAUUAGCUAGUUGGUGAGGUAACGGCUCACCAAGGCAACGAUGCAUAGCCGACCUGAGAGGGUGAUCGGCCACACUGGGACUGAGACACGGCCCAGACUCCUACGGGAGGCAGCAGUAGGGAAUCUUCCGCAAUGGACGAAAGUCUGACGGAGCAACGCCGCGUGAGUGAUGAAGGCUUUCGGGUCGUAAAACUCUGUUGUUAGGGAAGAACAAGUACGAGAGUAACUGCUCGUACCUUGACGGUACCUAACCAGAAAGCCACGGCUAACUACGUGCCAGCAGCCGCGGUAAUACGUAGGUGGCAAGCGUUAUCCGGAAUUAUUGGGCGUAAAGCGCGCGCAGGCGGUUUCUUAAGUCUGAUGUGAAAGCCCACGGCUCAACCGUGGAGGGUCAUUGGAAACUGGGGAACUUGAGUGCAAAAGAGAAAGCGGAAUUCCACGUGUAGCGGUGAAUGCGUAAAGAUGUGGAGGAACACCAGUGGCGAAGGCGGCUUUUUGGUCUGUACUGACCCUGAGGCCGAAACGUGGGGAGCAACAGGAUUAAAUACCUGGUAUCCCCCCUAACAAUAAAUGCUAAUGUUAAAGGUUUCC